RNAcentral lists this long non-coding RNA (5150 nucleotides) under Sus scrofa (pig). RNAcentral's name for it is "lncRNA (ENSSSCG00040032473.1)". Lineage: Eukaryota; Metazoa; Chordata; Mammalia; Artiodactyla; Suidae. The record is from RNAcentral.
GUCAUAGAUCACGUGGGUCUAAUUAUUUUGGUUACCUUUUUCAACAAACAUUGAAUGAGUGUCUAUUAUGUGUAAGGCACCAGGUAGUCAAAUGUGAAAAAAAAAAAAAUGAAAUGGUAAACCAUUGUGUAAAUUAACCUAUAGACCUAAUAGAACUUAACCUAUAGAACUACUUUACAUAUAAACACAUAGUGUAAUAAGACCAAUCAAGAAAAACAAUAGGAGUUUCCAUCAUGGCUCAGCAGUAAGGAACCCAACUAGUAUCCAUGAGGACGUGGGUUCAAUGUCUGGCCUGGCUCCGUGGGUUAAGGAUCUGGUGUUGCUGUGAGCUGUGGUGUAGGUCACAGAUGUGCCAUGCUCCGGGCCCCAUGUUGCUAUGGCUAUGAUGCAGGCUGGCAGCUGCAGCUCUGAUUCAACCCCUAGCCUGGGAACUUCCAUAUUUGGAGAGUGCAGCCCUAAACCGACAGAAAGACAGACAGACAGAAAGAAGGAGAGAGAGAGAAAGAGGAAGGGAGGAAGGAAGGAAGGAAGAAAGAAAAGAAGGAAGAAAAACGACAAUAUGCUCAGAGUGAGGACUGUUGAGGCUUUUUAUACUUUUGUAUUUAGGGCUUUAGGGAAAACUUUGGAGAAAUAACAUGUGAACUAAGAAAUAAAAGAUAUAAAAGAUACCAAUUGAAGGAUUGGGAAGUAUGAGAGAGCUCUGCCCUGCCAAAUCCACCCUCCUCUUUUUCAGUUUGUACAUCAAGAGAUCAAUCCAUCGGGACUGCAUUAAUGGGCUCCCUUAUCCUCUGGCUUCUUAUCUGGUUUGGCCAAUGGGAGGUAGGAUAAUAGAGGAUGGGAGAGAAUGAGUUUAGGUACUUUUUCCCCCAGUUUUCUCCCUGUUGUGCUAUAGUUGGUGACUGUGUGCCUCUAUCAGAAACUGCAUAGCUCCUGUCAGCUACCCCACUCCAAGCAACUACCCUUUCUAGUUCUGGUACCCAUUCCCCCCCAUUGCCCCUUUAGUCCUGGGAAUAGUAAACAGCCUUCCACUCCUACUAGCCCUCCCGAACUUCAGUUGGUGCAAUAGAAGAACAGACAUUGGGAGAACAAAUGGGCUAUGCUGAUAACCUUGACAACAAUAACGAUGAUAAUAAAUGAACAUGAGAUCAGCUGGAUCCUUCAGAUGACCACAUAAAAAUUACCUAGGGAAAAAUUCUGAUUCUGAAUCAGAGCUGAAAGUCACAAAGCCCUAAUAAUAGCUCAGAAGGGUCUCUCAUCUUCCAUAGUCACUGGGGACCUAUUGGGGAAAACUAAGCCCAGAGCCUGGUUGUAAGUGCUGCGGUGUGGCAGUGGAGACAGGGCUCAGCUGUCAUGUGCUAAAAUCAGGGUACUAGUUGGGAAGGAGGAGAAACUCUGAGUGAAAUCUGUGAUGGUAGAAAAUGCCCAGUGAAAGCCCACGAAACUCCCUAACUUCCUCCCCAUCGGUGAAGAAAAGUAAACCGAAAGCAAUUUUGCAUUCCCUCGGUUAUUAUGGAGAUUAGUAAAACCAUCAAAAAAGCCUUUAUAUAUUCCUAUAAUAUCCCAAUUUCUUAUAGCUGGGUGUCUAGUUCACAAACCAAAUGGGUCGUGGAAAAUGAAAGUCGAUUAUCACAGACUUAAUCAGGUGGAGAUACCAAUCACGGUGCAUUUCUGGAUGUGGUAUCUUUAAUGGAGCAAAUCAACCCAGACCCCGGCAGCUAGCAUGCAGCAAUUGACCUGACUGACCUGGCUUCCCCCCACCCCCAUACCUUCCAACAAAGAUAAUCAGAAGCAGUUUGCCUUCACAGGUACGACAGUAUAACUUCAUGGUCUUGUCCCAGGGUUGUGUCAGCUCUCCUGAGCUGUCGUGAUAUAGCCCUGCAUUCCCUUGAUCAUCUUGCCAUCCCACAGAACGUGACGUUGGUUCAUUACAUUUGUGACUUUAUGCUAACUACAUCUAAUGAACACAAAGUGGCAAGCACUUUGGAUGCUGUAGUAAGAUAAAUGCAUGCCGGAAGGUAGGAAAUGAGGACAAUGGCAAUUCAGAAGUGCCUCCUAUUCAGAGGGUCCAAUGGUCUGAGAACUGUCAGGAUAUCUGCUCUAUCAUGGAAAGCAAGUGGCUGCAGGUUGUGACCAUCAUGAAGAAAGAAGCACAACUCUUGCUGAGCUUCCUUGUGUUUGGGAAGAAACAGAAAUCUUAUUUGGUAACUUAUGAGGCUUCUCGGGUUUUUCUGUGUCCAAGCUGCCCUUUUCAUUUGCAUUACACCUUUCUGGGCACAGUGGCCCUGAAAGUGUCUGUAGCAGACAGAGACAUCCUAUGAAGCUUUCCACAAGUCCGAUAGGUAAAUUGCAGCUCAGCCCACUAAGAUAUGGGAAGGAGCUAUGCCCUUAUGCUAACUACAGUUCUUUUGUGAAGAAGUUCUUGACUGGCUACUGAAUCCUGGUGUUGCUUGAAAUUUUGUCCAAGGGACCCUAGUGAUUUGUAAUCUAUAAACUAGAUGUUAUCUGAUUCCUCAAACCAUCAACUUAGAUGUGCACUGCCGCCUUGCAUUGUACAAAAAAACAUGAUAUACUCAACUUGGUGCCCAAAUAGAUUUGGAAGGCACAAGUCAUCUGCAUUGGCUGGUGGCUUAGAUGUCCAAGGUACUUGCUUCCUUAGCUUCCCAAUUUUCCCAUGACCCACAUGUGAAACGGCACAGGAUUUCUCUAUGACCAGUCAAAGGGGAAGAAAAAGCAAAAUGAAGGUUUAUAGGUAGAUCUGGUUAGCGUGCUAACUUAUGCCAGAAGUUGAUAGUUACUUAAAUAUAACCCAACUCAGGGGUAGCCUUGAAAGACAGCCACGAUGGUAAACAUUUUCUGUGGGCAGAAAUUGAGGUAGUACAGCUGUGUGUCCACUUUGCAUGGAAGGAAAGAUUGCCUUAAGUGCAGAUACACCCCGGUUCAUGAGCCAACAGGCUGUCUACACAGUUGGGGACAUGAAAGGAAUAAGUUGUUAGAGUGGUGGUUUAUGAGAGCAGUUCCGAUAGAUCUUCUUUUGGAAAGAAGAGUGUGAAAAUAUUUUUUCCCACAGGAACCAAUCUACUGUGGAGAAUGCUUUCAAUAACCAGAUGGACAAGUCAGUAUUUCCUUAUCAGUACGUUUCUUUCUGCAGCUCCCCCCCCCCCCCCAGUGCUUGCUCAAGUGACCUAAGUAGAGUGUUUCUGGGGUGGGAUUGAAGGCUAUUCCUGUGCUCAAUAACAUGAAUUUCUGCUCAUAAAGACUGAUCUUGUUACCACAUGCCAAGUGGCCAACCUGCCACAUGCAGGUCCAUGCGACACCAAUCCUCAGCAGACUGGCCUGCUUCCUGGUGGAAGUUGAUGGCAGUAAGAUUUUCUAUCAUGGAAAAGAGAGUGACUUGUCCUCACAGACAUAGGCCUGUAUUUCAGAUACAGAAACCCCUUUCCUGUCCACAGCACUUUUGCCAAUAUUGUCCUUCCAGAUACCUUACCUGUAGCCAUGGCAUUCUACACGACGUAACGUUACAGUGGGUGACAGUUAUUACCACCAAAGAUGUAUGCCAAUGGGUGUAUGCCCACAUAAUCCACCAGCUUUACCGUGUCUCCCUAUCAGAAAGCAGAUGGACAAACAGAAUGAUGUGCUGCCAGCCUACGCCACAGCCACAGCAUUGCCAGAUCUGAGCCUCAUCUUCGACCUACACCAUAGCUCAUGGCAAUGCCAAAUCCUUUAACUCACUGAGCAAGACCAGGGACAGAAGCAGUGUCCUCAUGGAUAAUAGGUUCAUUUCCAAUGAGCUACAAUGGGAACUCCAUGAAGCAUAAUCUUAAACCAGCAGCCAGUAUUUAGUGCCACUCUCCUACAGCCAGAAUCAAGCUGUAGAGGUGAAAAUGGUCCCUCUCAGUAUUCUAGCGAUAAAAUACCAAAGGAAUUUUUCUUUUCCUGGAAAUGCAGUUGGCGAAUGUUGGUGUAUGGUAGAGGAAGGCUGGUGUCCAAUAGUGACACUGUGUAUCAACCAAGAGUCGUAAUUUUAGUCUUGUUACGUUAAAAACUGAAACUGCCCUCUAAAAUUUCAACCCCCCAUGCCAGGCAACAAACAGACAAAAAGGUAUCACAACAUAGUCCAUGAUGACCGAUCACAAUUAAAAGUUGAAAUUGAGGUGCUGCUGCCCAAUGGGUAGAAACUGACUAGAGCCGGAUAAUUCACUAGGGCAUCUACAUAUUCCCUGUGCUCAAUAACUCUGAACUGGGGAAAACUAUGGCAAUGCAAUAAAUACGGAAUCACCAAGGACUCAGAUCUUAACAGAUAUGGACGUUUGGGUCACCUCAUCCGGUUAAGAAACCUCUCCUGGUGAGAUGGAUAAUAAUGGGAACACAGAAUGGGUUAUAGCAAAAGCCAGGUAUCAUGAUCAGCUUAAGCCUCCUGUCCAGCUAUAGAAGUAGAGCACAUGGUAUCUAUGUUUUAUGUUAGUUGAUUGCUUCUCUUACGGCUCUUUCCUUUCUCCUCACCACCACUCCCUCUUGCCAUUACCUUAUAUGAAGAGCCUGGUGGUAGCUAAAGAUUACUUGGCAGGUAGGAUUUUGCCUGAGUUGACCCACUCUAUGACAAGACACCUGUUCAGAGAGAAUACAUUGGGUGUCCCCUGUGAAAGAGAUUACAAAUACUUCACCUGGAGAAAUAAGGAGAGGAUGCUGAGAGGAAAAAGUGCUUGGCUGUGUGAAGUAACCUCCAUCUGGCAUCUGUGUUCUUGCUUUACCAUUCUGCCUGAGCAGGAUGAAUCACAUAAGCUCCUUUUUUUCUGGUUUCCAUUUAGGUUCCAAAUGAACAGGAUUUCGGGGCAAAGAGGAGGCAAAAAUCGGGAUUUUUCUUUUCUCUGCUUACUCCUUAUUGUACGGCUUCUUUUCAGGGCCCACAUGUGGAGUAUUCCGGAGUUCCUGUUGUAGCUCAGGGAGUUAAGAAACUGACACAGUGUCCGCGAGGAUGUGGGUUCCAUCCCUGGACUCAUUCAGUGGGUUAAGGAUCUGACAUUGCUGCAAGGUGUAGCAUAGGUUGCAGAUGCAGCUCAGAUCUGGUGUUGGGGUGACUGUGGUGUAGGCCUCAGCUGCAGCUCCGAUUCGACCCCUAGGCCAGGAACUCCCAUUUGCUGCAUGUGUAGCUG